AUACUGUUCUAGAGCACACCCUUAAAAGGCUUUUUCUUUUACCUGUUGUUUGUUGAGAGGUGAGGGUUUCAGAGAGGUGACAUUUGCUAUAUGGCUGAAGUAGAAGAUACUUCAUACAAGAGUAAUCUCUCUCUUUAAUAUGCUUGCUUUACUCGUAGCCCAAUGCAUUGUCUGAAGUUCUUGCCCACUUGGGUAUAAUAUUUAGCAGAUAUCUACGUGGCUACUCUUCUUCCUGCUUUCAGGCCUCUGACUAUAUAAUAUUAAAUUAUUAUUAAAAUUGGCAAAGUUGGUCACUCACAUGAGGGGUCUUGUGCAGACCUACCCUAUUUCUAAUAAGCUUUAUGGUAUUUUUCUGUAUUUAUAUAUUUCAAAGUUAAGGCAAUGUUCUUUAAAUGCUUACAGACUUCAUAUUCCAAGGAAAAAGGAAAUUCUGGUAAGCUCUUUAUUUACUUAACAAACAUUUAUUGAGCACCUGCUAUGUGCAAGAUGCUGUCCUAGAUUGUGGUAUUCCUGAGUUAAGAUGCACAGGAAUCUCAAAGAAUUUAUAGGUAAUAUAAAGAAGAAGUACAGUCCUCCCUAAAUUUUCUUUCCUUUUUGUCUUUUCCCUUAAACAAAACAAAACCCCCAAACCAAAAACAAAAAACCACAAAACCAAAAAAUGAAAUUUCCAAACACUUAUUAAAAAUUAGUCCGGUAGAGGGCAGCACACACACGUUCACAUACUUCCACUAGCACCCUUGCACCCCCAAUAAAUCUAGCUAAGUAGGUAGAACAAAGUGGAAGUUUUUUGUACAGUGCCCAGACAUGGUAGGUAGACGAUUAAUGCUUAGGGGAAAAAACAGAACCAAACAGAGUAGCAAGGGAGAAAGCAUUUACAAACAGGCAAACGUGCUUUAAAAACAAUGAAUAUUCUAAAAGAUAACAAAGAACACCCUAAUUUAUUCCUCAUGCCUUAGUAAUUGUUUCAAAAACAGAGUGUACACAGAAUGCAGUAAAAAUCCACUUAGAGUGAAAACGCUGUAUAAUUCAGCUCUAUUACCAUAUUACUGUGUGUGAUUUGUUUUCUCUGAACCCUGAUACAGCUAUGAAAAUGAGAAAAUCAAGUGUAACACUUUUUCAUCAGUGAAAAUAGAGAUAGAUGGGACCUAAUUAUUAAAACUGUCAUGUACCUUAGUCACCCACAUGCUUAGAUAAAUUGUCCAGUUCUUCAGCACAUUCUAACCAUGAAAGAGAGCAAGAGAUAAGCACUAACUCAUUAACACUGUACGAAAUUGUUCAGUUUAUUAAUAAAAGACUAAUAACAGAGCCUCAUGGGUACAGAAGGGAGAUUUAUAACUAGCAUUUGCCAGGGAAAAUGUAUACAUAUACUGUUCCUAAAUUGAAAGCAAAAGUUUUUUCUUCUUGCAAUAACCCUAUAUACAGAGGUCUGUAUAUUAGGUUGUAAUUACAGUCUUCAAACCAGAGAAUUGGUAAAUUAGCACAUCUAAUGAAAUCAAUACAUUUCCAGGCACAAAGAACCUUUGUGAGCUCUGAAAGGAAACCUCUUUAGCAUGGCAUGACUGCCUUUUGUUUCCAUGGAGUGCUGAUUCAUUACCUCUAAGUAGUUGACUAAUGAUUGAACAUCUAUUACUGAAAGAGUAAGUAAGGUACAAUAUCAACAAGUUUACUCAUUCCUACUUAAAGAGAAAAAAAACCAACAACCUUUUAUUUGAGAGUAAUAAAGUUUCUUUGGCAACAUCAGUAGCAGAAAUAGCUUCUCCUUUCUCUUUUUGAGAUGAGUGCAAUAGAGGUGAAUAAAUAAAAAUUAGAAAAACCAAAAUGGCAAAAAAUUUAAAAAGUGAGAAACAUAAAGCAUUUUCAGGAACCCUGGGUCGCAUAAGACAUUUUAUCUUCCCUUCUGCUAAGGUUACAGCCCAUCAAAUUUUCACCCUGAUAUUACGGUGUUUUAAUACUGUAUUGGGUGUCAGAGUAAACAUUUGUCAUGCUUUCAGGUCAAUUUAGAAAAAAAAAUCAAUAUUUUAAAAGAGUAUAUGUCAAAAUGCCCCUACCCCUUUUACCACUCUGAACUUUUUUAAGCUUUAAAAAGUUGUCUUCAAUUUCUUGCUUCUAAAAUCUAAGUGCUUUUUCCUCCCUAUUUCAUCAAUUCUUGAAAAUGAAAAAAAAAAUUGAACUAUUCAAUCUAACUUUGUUGAUAAAAGAGAGAAAAUGGGUUCCCAUAGCUUCUCUCUGGUCAUGACAAUUUCCUGAGGCAUAAUUCUUGCAAAUGUAUGCAUUUUUGCUGCAGGUUCCAGCUGAGAGGCAGCAAUAAAGGGGGAGCCCAAGUUUGGCCAGGAGGAUAACUUAGCAACUAAACUCCCUUCUAUGCUGGGGAGAAAAUAGCUUAAAAGUGUAGUACCAAUAGCACUUUUGCUUAAUAGACUUUGUAAAAUGGUAGAAUUUACUUUUAUUUCCUGAAAUAUUUUUUUAAAUUUUUUACUAAAGUAUAGCUGAUUUACAAUGUUGUGCUAAUUUCUGCUGUACAGCAAAAUGACCCAGUCAUUCAUAUAUAUUUUUUUAAAUAUUAUUUUCCAUCAUGGACUAUUCCAGGAGUUUAGAUAUGGUUCCCUGUGCUAUACAGUAGGACCUUGCUGUUUAACUCCUCUCUAAAUGUAAUAGCACUAAGCCCAAACUCCCAAUCCAUCCCACUCCCUCCCCACCUCCUUGGCAACCACAAGUCUGUUCUCCAUGUCUGUGAGUCUGUUUCUGUUCUGUAGAUAGAUUCAUUUGUAUAUUUUAUUUAUUUAUUUAUUGUUAUUAUUUUUGUCUUUUUAGGGCUGCACCACAGCAUAUGGAAGUUUCCAGGCUUGGGGUUGAAUCAGAGCUGCAGCUGCUGGCCUACGCCAUAGCAAGAGCAAUGCCAGAUCCUUAGCCCAGUGAGCGGAGCCAGGGUUCGAACCUGCAUCCUCAUGGAUACUAGUCAGGUUCAUUACCACUGAGCCACAAUGGGAACUCUCUCAUUUGUAUAUUUUAGAUUUGACAUAUAAAUCAUGAGUUGGAAAUGUUCUUACUUGUGCUGGAACUUUGGAAAAGUUCAGUGCAUUGCCCUGAGACUUACAAAUUUUAUAUUUGCCACUGAUCUUCCACAGUUAUAAGCUGGUCAGCUCUAAUGGUCUGCAUAUUCAUGAUUCUCAAGUUGUAUCAAUUCUCACAGGAAGCAUAGAUCAGUUCUCAAGUCACCUACCCUCCUCCUGCUUUCAGAUAGUGAAAGUAAAUGUUUGAGUAGCACUUCGCAGUACACAAAGUGUGUAGUGUAUUAUAGCUCCCAUAAGGCACAGAAGUUCUGUAAGGUAGAUCUAAUGUAAUACUAUCCUUGUGGAACAGUGAACUAUAAGACAUUUACACCACAAACAAAUCAACCUUGACUCUGCCAGUCAAUAGGCAUGGAAUUAUGUCACCUUAUGCUUCUAACUGGCAGCUUUUUGCGUAUGAUUUUUAUUCUCUUCUACUGAUUUGUAAAACCUUCCAGUGAUCAUAUCAUAUACUUUUGAAUCAUCUUCAGCUCUGGUACAAUAUUAAGAAAAUGUAAAUUGUUCAAUAAAUUAUUGAAAGAAUAAAAAAUAGUGAAUGAAUGCAUGAACAAAGCAUGACUCACUAAACAAGAAGCUGUUAACAUUUAACCUGAGAACUAUAAAGUCAGAGCUUUUGAGUGUUAAGAAAUAUGGCUUCAGGAGUUCCCCCUAUAGCUCAGUGAGUUAAGAACCUGACAUUGUGUCCGUGAGGAGGCAGGUUCAAUCCCUGGCCUUGCUCAGAGAGUUAAGGAUCUGGCAUUGCCACAAACUGCAGUGUAGGUCACAGAUGCAGCUUGGAUCUGGUAUUGCUGUGGCUGUGGUGAAGGCUGGCAGCUGCAGCUCCAAUUCGACCCUUAGCUCAGAAUUUCCUUAUGCCACAGGUUGGCCAUAAAAGAAAAAAAAAAAUGUGGUUUCAGGUCUGAAUCCCUGCCUAUUCAAUUUUUGGCCUUAAUCACUUUCAAAAUAUGAAGUAGGGAUAGAGCACAACUGAUAACAUUUUUUUUUUCUUUUCUGCAGAGAAACUCUACCUCAAGGUCAAGAUACAUUAAGCCAUUUGCCCCACCCUCCAUAAAGUCCUCCUUGCCUAAGCCUUAAGAUCUUCCCUUCCUCUGAAUUUCUAUAGCAUUUACAGUUAAAUCAACACUCAUUCAUUGCUUAGCUCUUUUACAAAUUUUUUGACAACCUUGUCACUGUUUUAAAGUCUUCUAUACUUUUUGGAUUGGCUAGUAUUUGGCAUAGCAGCAGAGUCACAUGAUGGGCAUGCAUUAAAUGUUUUUAUUUAGAUAUUGGUUUUAUUUACUCAUGCAUUCAACAAAUAUCAUCAAACACCUACUCUACCAGGGAAAGUUCUGAGCAUAGAGAUACAGCAGGAAACAAAACAAAGCCACUGCCAUAUAUCCAUAAAACUAUAACUCAAAAAGAUACAUGUGCCCCCAUGUUUAUAGCAGCACUAGUCACAACAGUCAAGAAAUGAAAACAAUCUAAAUGUCCAUUGACAGAUGAGUAGAUAAAGAUGUGUUACAUAAACACAAUGGAACACUAUUCAGCCAUUAAAAAAAUGGAGUAAUGUCAUUUGCCCCAACAUAGAUGGACCUAGAAAUUAUCAUACUAAGUAAAGGAAGUCAGACAGAGAAAGACAAAUAACAUAUGAUAUUGCUCAUAUUUGGAAUCUAAAACAUGUCGCAAAUGAAACCAUCCACAAAAACAGAUUCACAGACAUAGAGAACACAUUUGUGGUUGCCAAGGAGUGUUUUGAUUGGGAGAGAUAUGGAGUAGAAGGUUGUGGUUAGCAGAUGCAAGUUAUUAUAUGUAGGACAGAUAAACAAGUUCCUACUACAUAGUACAGGGAGCUAUAUUCAAUAUCCUAUGAUAAACCAUAAUCGAUAAGCAAUAUUAUAAGAAGGAAUAUAUAUAUGUGUGUAACUGAAUCACUUUGCUGUAUAGCAGAAAUUAACACAACAUUUAAAUCAACUAUGUUUCGCUAAAAAAGGAAACCACUGAUAAAACAAAGCAAAACAAACAAAAAACAGAAACACAGCCAUUGCUUUCAAGAAGUUUACAUUCUAAUUGUGGGAGACAGACAAAUAAGCAAACAACAAGUACUACUCAUGGUGAGAAGUGCUGUUGAAACUGAUUAAAACCCUGCAGGGACACCCCCAAAUACAAAGGACCCCCCAGGUACCCUGUCUUUUGUUUGUAGAAAAGCUGAAGUUUCCCAGGACUCCCUAAGUCACAGAAGAGUAGGUUCAAGCAGUUGAUGAUUAAGGUAACAGAGUCACGGAAUUUUGCAGUAUCUGAUACACACUCUUGAGCUGUUUUACAGACACUCUAACUGCCAUCAAAGGGGAAAAACUAAUUGCAUGAUGACCAGAUUGCAGCUGUGACAUAAGCUGCUCCACUUUGAGCAGUAUUGAGUCUAUGAUGAGCAUGAUUCCAAGAACUGGCCUCAGGAGAAUAGGAUUAACAUUAUUGCUCAUAAUAAUCUGUAUCUUUGUGGGCAUCAAAAUAAUUGUAAUUUGUAUUGCCCAUACAUGUAAGUGAGUGACUAAAACUGUCAGCAAAGAGAUAUUAGGGACCCACGUUGCCAUCUUCCACUCUGAGACUAUGGUGUCCAACGUCAGCGUGAAGAAAUUACAGAAGACAGAGCUUUGUCCCCAAUCCCAUAGAAAUGGAAUGAUAUCUGACAAGUGGGGUUUUGUAAGCAGCUCCUUUGUCCCUUUGCUGCUUGCAUAUUUCUGUUGCCCUUAAACCAUAAAUAUAGAAAUGAGAUGAGGAGAAAUUUAAC
RNAcentral lists this long non-coding RNA (5832 nucleotides) under Sus scrofa (pig). Its description in RNAcentral is "lncRNA (ENSSSCG00000054678.1)". The record is from RNAcentral. Lineage: Eukaryota; Metazoa; Chordata; Mammalia; Artiodactyla; Suidae.